Molecule: ribosomal RNA, 419 nt
Filed under: bacterium
Lineage: Bacteria
Description: partial 16S ribosomal RNA
Rfam family: Bacterial small subunit ribosomal RNA
Source: RNAcentral
UGGGGGAUAUUGCACAAUGGGCGAAAGCCUGAUGCAGCGACGCCGCGUGGGGGAUGAAGGCCUUCGGGUUGUAAACUUCUUUUGCUCUGAACAAGGCAUGCUAAUGGGUGUGUUGAGUGUAGGGGUUGAUUAGCGCCGGCUAACUACGUGCCAGCAGCCGCGGUAAUACGUAGGGCGCGAGCGUUGUCCGGAAUUAUUGGGCGUAAAGGGCUUGUAGGUGGCUGGUUGCGUCUGCCGUGAAAGCUCAUGGCUUAACUGUGGGUUUGCGGUGGGUACGGGCUGGCUUGAGUGCAGUAGGGGAGGCUGGAAUUCCUGGUGUAGCGGUGGAAUGCGCAGAUAUCAGGAGGAAUACCGGUGGCGAAGGCGGGUCUCUGGGCUGUUACUGACACUGAGGAGCGAAAGCAUGGGGAGCGAACAGG